AGUAGGGUCAGCUAAGCAAGCUAUCGGGCCCAUACCCCGAAAAUGAUGGUUUACCCCUUCCCCUGCUA
Molecule: transfer RNA, 68 nt
Filed under: Tachycineta thalassina
Lineage: Eukaryota; Metazoa; Chordata; Aves; Passeriformes; Hirundinidae
Description: tRNA-Met
Source: RNAcentral